Felis catus (domestic cat) is the source of this 2921-nucleotide RNA transcript. It is a transcript of the gene named exosome component 1, with no coding region annotated. The record is from RefSeq and is a predicted model, not a curated record. The transcript is spliced from 9 exons. Lineage: Eukaryota; Metazoa; Chordata; Mammalia; Carnivora; Felidae.
AAAUAAAGUUUCCCGGAGGCUCCGAUGAUCACGUGACAAAUCAUACCAAUUGACGCGUUUUUUACUGCAGAACUAGUCCUAUACUUUAGCCAAUGAGAAGUCGACUUCGUUUCCCUCCUGUGGCAGUCAUGGCGCCACCCGUGAGGUACUGCAUUCCGGGCGAACGUCUGUGUAACUUGGAGGAGGGCAGCCCGGGCAGCGGCACUUACACGCGACACGGCUACAUCUUUUCGUCGCUUGCUGGCUGCCUGACGAAGAGCAGCGAGAACGGAGCGCUUCCUGUCAUUUCUGUGAUGAGAGAAACAGAAUCCCAAUUACUACCAGAUGUGGGGGCUAUUGUAACCUGUAAGGUCUCUAGCAUCAAUUCGCGCUUUGCCAAAGUGCACAUCCUAUAUGUGGGGUCCACACCACUUAAGAACUCUUUUCGAGGAACUAUCCGCAAGGAAGAUGUCCGAGCUACUGAAAAAGACAAGGUUGAGAUUUAUAAGAGUUUCCGCCCAGGUGACAUUGUCCUAGCCAAAGUGAUCUCCCUGGGUGACGCACAGUCCAAUUACCUUCUGACCACUGCUGAAAAUGAGCUUGGGGUAGUGGUGGCCCACAGUGAAUCGGGGUACAGCUGCAAUUAUCUUUGUCCUGGGCUAGUCAUCAGCAAACCACCACAGACCCAUACAGUUCUUCCUGCCAAACACAGAGAAAAUGGCCUCCUUUCCCAGCUCUUUCCCUUUCCCAGCCUCUCCUAAAUGUAAGUCACACCAAGCCAUCUCAAAGCAGACACACAGCCAGCAGGAUUACAUUUCCUACACUUUCCAAACCUUUGCUUCAAUUCAAAAGGAUCUACGGUGAAGGCAAGAAGCUAGAAAGAGUAACCUGAGGCCAAAUACCUGUUCCACAUCAGGCAUCAAUGACCCUUUCAAAUGGCUGCUUCAACGUCCAGAGGUUAGAAGAGCGCAGGGCAAAAUCUGCCCUAAUUACAUCAGUGGAAGCACCUCCUCAGUACAGAGGGAUUCUCUGAGUUGCUGGCAGCUGAGAAUGCUUCCUUAUAAAAAGCAUUCCAAAACCACAAAGAGCUGUUCGCCCAGGGGGCAAGCCUGGGUAGGCGAGUUUAUCUCACUGCCACUUCCACCUUUGCCCAGCGUCUACCUGUUACUCAACCCAGAAUUGGAGCGAGCGGGAUGGACUAGGAAUAAGGAGAUACGACCUUGAACAAGUCAUCUAUGCAAUCCUCACUUUUCCCAGCUAUAGAAGAGGGCCAGGGAGGGAAAGUAAGGAAGGGGAUAAUAAUCUACUUCAUGGAAUCGUGCAGAGGACAACUCAAAUUAUUCAUUCAUUCACUCAUUCAUUCACUCAAUUACAUUUGUGGAUGCAUUCGGGGCACAAGAUUCGUGGGAUGCUGCUGAACAGCAAAGGCCUACAUAAGCACGUGGGUUUCGUGAGGCCUGUUGUCCGCCCAGCGCCGCGUUACUCCCCCACAGCCGGGGACAAGCGUGUGGUCUGACGCUUCACGAGGAUCCGCAGCAGCCUCUUGAAAAGGCUUGGUUACAGCUCCCGGAAGACACCGGCCAUCCAAUUUAAUAACCCGUCCCCGAGUUACUGAAUGCUCAGAUUAGUAAAUGGGAGAAUUUCGCCAAGGCGGUGUCGUGGAGAAUGCAGUGGGUUGCGGGGCGACCGCUCCCAGUACUCUUCCCGGCGUGGCCCAUCACACCACUGGGUGACCUUGAGCAAGUCGACAGCCCCCCCCCCCCCCGCACACACACCCUGAAACCAUUUUGCCAACCGCAAAAUAAACUGCAGGAGAGCUGAAGCCCAAGGUCAGCCCUCUCCGCGAGGGCACGGGGGCGAGCCAGGCGGCCCGCAACCAGGGGCGCCCGCCCGAGCCUCCGCAGCCCGCCCCGGCCCGUUCCUCACCUCGCAGCGCCUGCCCGCCGCGCUUCGCCUCCUCGUGCCCGGCAGGGCUCAAGUCGGCGUCGUACCAGCCGCUGAAGCGGUUCUCCAGGUUCCAAGCGCUCUCGCCGUGCCUGAUCAGCACCAGCUUAUAGGCGGCCAUGGUGGCGGCUCGGGGUGCGACGCAGAGUGGGACUCGCUGAGAUUCCGGAGUCGCUGUCCGGCCCCAGCCGCGCCUGCGCGCUCGCACUCCACCGCCCAGCUCCCGCGCACUUGCUCUUCCAAAUCUUUCCACUAGCUCUGGGCCGCCCUCCGCCCGCCGGGUGUGCGCAUGCGCCCCGUGCCAGCGCUGCAGCCGCCGUGGGGGAGGGGCGCGCUCGAGGGCGCCAGAGCGCAUGCGGUCUCGUCCGCCUGCCCCUCGUCAGCCGCGGCGGUCACGGAGCGCACGUAAGCUCCGAAAGGCGGCGGAACUUUCACCUCGCGCCGGGGCGUGUGUGCCGGUGGUAGCGUUGAAGAGCAACCGUGCUUUCCUUGUGUUGCCGCUAUUCAUAAGCCGAUUGUCUUAAAGUGGCUCUUAUUGUUUGAAUCGCGCUUAGCAGGGAGAAGAUGGAAUUCAGUGACCAGACAGAUGACUGGGGUGAGGUCCAGCUCUAAAAGCUACACCCAGAGUUCACAGAAUCCCAGGGCUGCAAAGUGAGAACUGCCUUUGAAGGCCUCCUGUUCAAGCUCCCAGCAUGGCCCACGUGGGGAUCCUUGAAAGACUCCCUGUUUGGAGGUUCUCCCUCUGCCUGAUCCUACUUCUUGGUCAUCCCGAUCCUGACACCCAACCCCUCUCAGGGAGAGCUUUUCCAGCCUUAACCUUGGCUUUUCAGACUGUACUUUUUGUCCCUCUGCCUUGGCCCUAAUCCAUACUCCCAGUCAUGGCUCCUGCCAUGUCCCUUUCUCUUCCCCCUGUUCUCUGCUUCAAGAUUUCUGUGCUUUUGUGUAGUUGAGGUCUCAUAUUUAUGCAAUGAGUAGGAGAUAAAUAGGAAGAAACCUGA